Molecule: ribosomal RNA, 496 nt
Filed under: uncultured bacterium
Lineage: Bacteria
Description: partial 16S ribosomal RNA
Rfam family: Bacterial small subunit ribosomal RNA
Source: RNAcentral
GAUGAACGCUGGCGGCGUGCCUAAUACAUGCAAGUCGAGCGAACAGACGAGGAGCUUGCUCCUCUGACGUUAGCGGCGGACGGGUGAGUAACACGUGGAUAACCUACCUAUAAGACUGGGAUAACUUCGGGAAACCGGAGCUAAUACCGGAUAAUAUAUUGAACCGCAUGGUUCAAUAGUGAAAGACGGUUUUGCUGUCACUUAUAGAUGGAUCCGCGCCGCAUUAGCUAGUUGGUAAGGUAACGGCUUACCAAGGCAACGAUGCGUAGCCGACCUGAGAGGGUGAUCGGCCACACUGGAACUGAGACACGGUCCAGACUCCUACGGGAGGCAGCAGUAGGGAAUCUUCCGCAAUGGGCGAAAGCCUGACGGAGCAACGCCGCGUGAGUGAUGAAGGUCUUCGGAUCGUAAACUCUGUUAUUAGGGAAGAACAAAUGUGUAAGUAACUAUGCACGUCUUGACGGUACCUAAUCAGAAAGCCACGGCUAACUACGUG